AGUACGAUUCCUCGUGAAUGUUUGGAGAAAAUUCGAAUGAUAAACGUAAAAAUCUUCGCGUCAUGGUAACUGCACUCAAAUGAGCACCGAACGAUGAGCGUCUCCAUAUUUUUCUCAAACUUUUUACUCAUUCGAAUUGCCAAUUCCACUUUCCGAUCCUAAAGGAUUUUCUAGAUUUGCCAAAGUAGCAAGAUAUUUGUGGAGACAUCAACCACUCCAAUAUGCAGCUUGAUGGGGAAUGUUAUGCAGACAACAAUAAACUUUCUACCUCAUACUGCCAACUCUAGGUCCCAGAAUGCCAUGGAUGCUGGUGGCUUCGCUGCUCUGGAACCCUCACCUGUCUUACCCCUUGGUAUCAAGAAAGAUUCAGAAUUGAUUCCAAAAGCAAUGUUUAGCAAGUAUCAUGCUUCACACAGCCUUGGAGAUUCAAAGAUACAGGGUUGAACAAGGCUAUGACUAUAACUCUAGCAUAAAUGAUACAAUGUGCGAGACAGGAAAUCAUCAAUAUUGUUUGUAUUCAAAGUGGGUGAUCAUUAUGUUCAAUUCCAUCGCCUUUUUUUCUUGUUGGUAGCAUCGCUGAUGAGACUCUUCAACAAGCUUCUACUCAGGCCAUUGUUACAAGCUGCAGUAUUUUCAAUGGUUGGAGCUUACCUGUGUCUUGCUUAUCCUAGCCCCUGUUGGCAGGUGCUUUAUUCACCACCAGAUUCAUGGCAUAUGGAAUAACACCAGGCAAAGCUUCUCUUCUGCUGUAGAAUUAAAGACUAAUCUUCCAAUGCCUAAAGAAAUGUAGGAGUUAUCAAAUAUAUGUGAAUGUUUGAAGUACUCGUGUGCCUUAAUGUUUGAUAAUUAGUACUCAAACAGUUGAUUUACAGAAUA
This is a long non-coding RNA of Mangifera indica (mango), 876 nucleotides long. RefSeq lists it as uncharacterized. The record is from RefSeq and is a predicted model, not a curated record. The transcript has 3 exons. Lineage: Eukaryota; Viridiplantae; Streptophyta; Magnoliopsida; Sapindales; Anacardiaceae.